GGAGUUUGGACCGUCUCUCAGUUCCAAUGUGGCCGAUCACCCUCUCAGGCCGGCUACUGAUCGUCGCUUUGGUGGGCCGUUACCCCGCCAACUGGCUAAUCAGACGCGGAUCCAUCUCGCACCGAUAAAUCUUUUACCCCUGCCCCAUGCGGGGCUGUGGUCUUAUGCGGUAUUACCAGCCGUUUCCAGCUGCUAUCCCCCUGUGCGAGGCAGGUUAUCCACGCGUUACUCACCCGUCCGCCACUAAGUUAAAGUUCCAUCCGAAAAUUUCACUUUAACCCCGUUCGACUUGCAUGUGUUAGGCACGCCGCCAGCGUUCAUC
Molecule: ribosomal RNA, 322 nt
Filed under: uncultured Coriobacteriales bacterium
Lineage: Bacteria; Bacillati; Actinomycetota; Coriobacteriia; Coriobacteriales
Description: partial 16S ribosomal RNA
Source: RNAcentral